This 754-nucleotide long non-coding RNA is filed under the name Physcomitrium patens. Its description in RNAcentral is "long non-coding RNA (PPAT_LNC000489)". The record is from RNAcentral. Lineage: Eukaryota; Viridiplantae; Streptophyta; Bryopsida; Funariales; Funariaceae.
UACUAUCUCGAGAUACCAACUCCUAUACUAUGGAUGAUGCCUACUUUUUUUGACUAUUCAUUCAUUCUACGUGCUGUACCACCUUUUCAAUAGUUAUCUAUCCUUGUUUAUACUAUACACUAGAUAUCUAUAUUUUGAAAAUAACUACUUAUUCUACAUAGCCCCACUCCUAACUAUGCAGCAUCCUCGCAAACACAGUAUUGAUAAACAUUAAUCAAUCUCUUUUUUUUUUUUUUCUUUUUUUUUUUUUUUUUUUUUAAUGGAUUUUUCAAUCUCUUCAAUUUCUGGCACUAGCUCCAUUUGGUCUUGUUCCAACACUAUGUCUUCUUCCUCUGACUCGUCCUGAAUCUCUGUCCUUAAUUGAGUUGUUAAAUCUUCAUUAUACGCUCCCAAUUCUCAAACCUGAGCUUCCAAUUGGAGUAUUCUGGCAUCUUUAGCUCUCAGUUGUUGCUGCUGCUCUUGCAAUUUUUCCUCCAAUUUUCCAAUUCUUCCUCCCAUUGAGGCAGAUAUAUGUGACUGUCCAAUAUUAACUAAAUCACUCUCCACUUUCGUUACUGUUUCUUUCAAAACAAUAAUUUUUGCCUAUAGCUCAUCCGUUUUGUUUUGAUAUUGGUCACCCAAUUCUUUCUUUUCAAGCUCCAAUGCCUCCUUCUUCUCUCGUUCCAUCUUCAAUUGAGCAUUCAUCUUCUCUUAUUUCAAUCUAUAUGAUUUGCGAGUUUGUAGUAAUUCUUGCAUUUGAUUUUUCAGGAUAUGC